Molecule: ribosomal RNA, 426 nt
Filed under: Ischnura gemina
Lineage: Eukaryota; Metazoa; Arthropoda; Insecta; Odonata; Coenagrionidae
Description: partial 16S ribosomal RNA
Rfam family: Bacterial large subunit ribosomal RNA
Source: RNAcentral
UAAUAGGUCUGGCCUGCCCAGUGAUAAAAUUUAACGGCCGCGGUAUAUUGACCGUGCAAAGGUAGCAUAAUCAUUAGUCUUUUAAUAGAAGGCUGGAAUGAAAGGUUUAACGAGAAAUUAACUGUCUCAAUUACAAACUUGAAUUUAUCUUUUGAGUCAAAAGACUUAAAUAUAAUUGGGGGACGAGAAGACCCUAUAGAGCUUAACAAUUUUUUUUUCUAUAUUUAUUUAGUUAAAUUAUUUAUAUAUAUUGGAAAAAUUGUUUUGUUGGGGUGACAAUAAAUAUAUAUUUAACUUUUAUCAUAACAUAAACAUUAAUUUAUGAUUUUUGGAUCCAAAAAUUUUGAUCAAUAGAUUAAGUUACCUUAGGGAUAACAGCGUAAUCUUCCCUCAGAGUUCAUAUUUACGGGAAGGCUUGCGACCUCG